This 531-nucleotide ribosomal RNA is filed under the name Filobasidium floriforme. RNAcentral describes it as "eukaryotic LSU rRNA". It matches the Rfam family "Eukaryotic large subunit ribosomal RNA", at positions 142 to 661 of the family's 3401-position model. The record is from RNAcentral. Lineage: Eukaryota; Fungi; Basidiomycota; Tremellomycetes; Filobasidiales; Filobasidiaceae.
GUUGUAAUCUAUAGAAGUGUUUUCCGUGCUGGCUCAUGUACAAGUCCCUUGGAACAGGGCGUCAUAGAGGGUGAGAAUCCCGUCCUUGACAUGAACUACCAGUGCUCUGUGAUACAUUUUCAACGAGUCGAGUUGUUUGGGAAUGCAGCUCAAAAUGGGUGGUAAAUUCCAUCUAAAGCUAAAUAUUGGCGAGAGACCGAUAGCGAACAAGUACCGUGAGGGAAAGAUGAAAAGCACUUUGGAAAGAGAGUUAAACAGUAUGUGAAAUUGUUGAAAGGGAAACGAUUGAAGUCAGUCGUGCUCUUUGGAUUCAGCCGGUUCUGCCGGUGUACUUCCUUUGAGUGGGGUCAACAUCAGUUUUGAUCGCUGGAUAAAGGCUGGAGGAACGUAGUACCCUCGGGUAAACUUAUAGCCUCCUGUCACAUACAGUGGUUGGGACUGAGGAACGCAGCACGCCUUUAUGGCCGGGAUUCGUCCACGUACGUGCUUAGGAUGUUGACAUAAUGGCUUUAAACGACCCGUCUUGAAACA